RNAcentral lists this ribosomal RNA (496 nucleotides) under uncultured bacterium. RNAcentral's name for it is "partial 16S ribosomal RNA". It matches the Rfam family "Bacterial small subunit ribosomal RNA", at positions 28 to 506 of the family's 1533-position model. The record is from RNAcentral.
GAUGAACGCUGGCGGCGUGCCUAAUACAUGCAAGUCGAGCGAACGGACGAGAAGCUUGCUUCUCUGAUGUUAGCGGCGGACGGGUGAGUAACACGUGGAUAACCUACCUAUAAGACUGGGAUAACUUCGGGAAACCGGAGCUAAUACCGGAUAAUAUUUUGAACCGCAUGGUUCAAAAGUGAAAGACGGUCUUGCUGUCACUUAUAGAUGGAUCCGCGCUGCAUUAGCUAGUUGGUAAGGUAACGGCUUACCAAGGCAACGAUGCAUAGCCGACCUGAGAGGGUGAUCGGCCACACUGGAACUGAGACACGGUCCAGACUCCUACGGGAGGCAGCAGUAGGGAAUCUUCCGCAAUGGGCGAAAGCCUGACGGAGCAACGCCGCGUGAGUGAUGAAGGUCUUCGGAUCGUAAAACUCUGUUAUUAGGGAAGAACAUAUGUGUAAGUAACUGUGCACAUCUUGACGGUACCUAAUCAGAAAGCCACGGCGAACUACGU